Molecule: long non-coding RNA, 558 nt
Filed under: Cyanistes caeruleus (blue tit)
Lineage: Eukaryota; Metazoa; Chordata; Aves; Passeriformes; Paridae
Description: lncRNA (ENSCCEG00000014575.1)
Source: RNAcentral
AUGGGCAGGGGAGCUCAGACCAGCAGCUCCUGGGGACUGAGUCUGCAUCAGCACAUCGGGGUCAGCCAGUCCAGGUUCCUCAGAACUCACCUGGGGGUCGAGAGACUUUUACCAGUAAAUAUCGGUUUAUUCCUGAAACCAGAAGCCCUAAACAUACCUUUGUUUAUAAGUGCACUGGUGUACCAAGCCUCAGAACCACUGCUUUCUCCAGCUCAUAGGAUGCUUUUCCAGACUGUGGAUACGUGUAUGUGUACUGCUGUGUUGAUAAGUAAAUGCCAACGAUGGAGUUCGUUGCUUUUAUACAUCCCAAAGAGAAGUUCUCCACCGUUCACUGUCUGUUUUCUGACCGAAAAGGCGUGUGUUUGUGAACAGUGUUCACGCCAGCUCUGCCAUCCCACCCUCACAUCAGCUCACACCAAUGCCAGGAUGGGAGGAGUUGCCUGCGUACCUUCCCCAAAACACCCUGGGCCACAGUGGCAUCGUCAGGGAGCAGUUCAAACCUGUGUCCUUUGGGCUUUGUGUAAAGCAAAUGCAGAACAAGAAAAAUCGAGAUGUUAA